GUCCACGCCGUAAACGAUGAGUGCUAGACGUUGGGAAGCCUAGCUUUUCAGUGUCGCAGCUAACGCAUUAAGCACUCCGCCUGGGGAGUACGGCCGCAAGGUUGAAACUCAAAGGAAUUGACGGGGGCCCGCACAAGCGGUGGAGCAUGUGGUUCAAUUCGACGCAACGCGAAGAACCUUACCAACCCUUGACAUGCCAGGACGGUUUCCAGAGAUGGACUCCUUCUCGCAAGAGACCUGGACACAGGUGCUGCAUGGCUGUCGU
RNAcentral lists this ribosomal RNA (265 nucleotides) under uncultured bacterium. RNAcentral describes it as "partial 16S ribosomal RNA". It matches the Rfam family "Bacterial small subunit ribosomal RNA", at positions 793 to 1055 of the family's 1533-position model. The record is from RNAcentral.